ACGCUCGACACCUACGGAGGCAGCAGUGGGGAAUAUUGCACAAUGGAGGAAACUCUGAUGCAGCGAUGCCGCGUGAGGGAAGAAGGUUUUCGGAUUGUAAACCUCUGUCUUUGGGGACGAUAAUGACGGUACCCAAGGAGGAAGCUCCGGCUAACUACGUGCAAGCAGCCGCGGUAAUCUGAGCGGGCUGGCAAGGC
This 197-nucleotide ribosomal RNA is filed under the name uncultured bacterium. RNAcentral's name for it is "partial 16S ribosomal RNA". It matches the Rfam family "Bacterial small subunit ribosomal RNA", at positions 328 to 539 of the family's 1533-position model. The record is from RNAcentral.